GGGUGAGUAACUCAACGGGAGAGUGCUUCCUCGACAAGGAAGAAGUUGUAGGUUCGAGUCCUAUCUCGCCCACCA
Molecule: transfer RNA, 75 nt
Filed under: Tissierellia bacterium
Lineage: Bacteria; Bacillati; Bacillota; Tissierellia
Description: tRNA-Val
Rfam family: tRNA
About the family: Transfer RNA (tRNA) molecules are approximately 80 nucleotides in length. Their secondary structure includes four short double-helical elements and three loops (D, anti-codon, and T loops).
Source: RNAcentral